RNAcentral lists this ribosomal RNA (425 nucleotides) under uncultured bacterium. RNAcentral's name for it is "partial 16S ribosomal RNA". It matches the Rfam family "Bacterial small subunit ribosomal RNA", at positions 354 to 796 of the family's 1533-position model. The record is from RNAcentral.
GUGGGGAAUCUUGCGCAAUGGGCGAAAGCCUGACGCAGCCAUGCCGCGUGAAUGAUGAAGGUCUUAGGAUUGUAAAAUUCUUUCACCGGGGACGAUAAUGACGGUACCCGGAGAAGAAGCCCCGGCUAACUUCGUGCCAGCAGCCGCGGUAAUACGAAGGGGGCUAGCGUUGCUCGGAAUUACUGGGCGUAAAGGGCGCGUAGGCGGACAGUUUAGUCAGAGGUGAAAGCCCAGGGCUCAACCUUGGAAUUGCCUUUGAUACUGGCUGUCUUGAGUACGGGAGAGGUGAGGGGAACUCCGAGUGUAGAGGUGAAAUUCGUAGAUAUUCGGAAGAACACCAGUGGCGAAGGCGACUCACUGGCCCGUUACUGACGCUGAGGCGCGAAAGCGUGGGGAGCAAACAGGAUUAGAAACCCGGGUAGUCC